RNAcentral lists this long non-coding RNA (1022 nucleotides) under Lactuca sativa (garden lettuce). Its description in RNAcentral is "long non-coding RNA (LSAT_LNC007327)". The record is from RNAcentral. Lineage: Eukaryota; Viridiplantae; Streptophyta; Magnoliopsida; Asterales; Asteraceae.
UUGUAUAUUGAAAAGUCAAGAAAUGGAAGUAGUCAACAAGUAAUAGUCAACAAAGUAAUGGAAAUGUGAAGCAAAACCCACACCCACGUUUUUUGCCUCCUACUCUACAUCAACUUGCAGCCAACUCUUUCAAAAACCACUCAAGUACACUAAUACAAGAUAUUUGUUUCUCAUAUAUAUACAUGUGUAUGUAAUGUGUGUUAGUUAGUGAGAAUAGAAGAGACUAAGAGAGAUUCAUAUGUUAUAGUGAAUUUUCCUUUGUAAAACCACACCCUCUCAAUCUUCAUCCUAGGAGAUAACCAAAAACAUCAAGAUCAACAACAACCAAAAAUGAAGAACAUCAUCAACUAUCUUCAUCUUCUUCAUUCAAACUCAAGGUGUUCAUCUUCAACCCAUCAAACAUCAUCAUCUUCAUAAACUUUCACCACCUUAUAUCAACCUCAUUCCAACCUCCAAACAACCUCAAAAUACUCUCCUAACACCCUCCAAAUACCAUCCUUAAACCUCCUCCAAAAAACCCUUUCAAAUAACCACAACCAUCACCACCUUGCUGUUUUUCGACAUCAGAAUCUUCAAGUCAAAAACAAAGAAAACUGGGCUCGUUACAAGCACAAAAAGACUAGGGAGAUUUUCACCAUCAAUUCUUCAGGACAUUACCUACAUCUAGAAAUUUUCGUGGACGAUUUUGACCACGGGAAACCCCAAAGAGACGCGAGAGAGAAUUGGCUAUCCAGAGAGAUUUCUGUUUUUGAGUUCAGAAUCUUCAUGUUAGAAAACAAAAAAGCGAGAACAACACAGCCAAAAUACUACUAGGGAGAUUUUCACCAUCAAUUCUUCAGGACAUUACCUACAUCUAGAAAUUUUCGUGGACGAUUUUGACCACGGGAAACCCCAAAGAGACGCGAGAGAGAAUUGGCUAUCCAGAGAGAUUUACUCCGAAAAUCUACAUCCAUCACCACCCAAAGCUCCUUCAACUUCACCAUCUUUGCUGCCUUACACCACCAAAAUUACAACCUUAUUCC